UACGUAGGGGGCAAGCGUUGUCCGGAAUCAUUGGGCGUAAAGAGCGUGUAGGCGGCUCGGUAAGUCCGCUGUGAAAGUCCAGGGCUCAACCCUGGAAUGCCGGUGGAAACUGUCGAGCUAGAGUCCGGAAGAGGCGAGUGGAAUUCCUGGUGUAGCGGUGAAAUGCGCAGAUAUCAGGAGGAACACCAAUGGCGAAGGCAGCUCGCUGGGACGGUACUGACGCUGAGAUGCGAAAUCGUGGGGAGCAAACAGG
This 253-nucleotide ribosomal RNA is filed under the name uncultured bacterium. RNAcentral describes it as "partial 16S ribosomal RNA". It matches the Rfam family "Bacterial small subunit ribosomal RNA", at positions 524 to 776 of the family's 1533-position model. The record is from RNAcentral.